This 1068-nucleotide long non-coding RNA is filed under the name Piliocolobus tephrosceles (Ugandan red Colobus). Its description in RNAcentral is "lncRNA (ENSPTEG00000016830.1)". Lineage: Eukaryota; Metazoa; Chordata; Mammalia; Primates; Cercopithecidae. The record is from RNAcentral.
UAGCACAAAAAAAACUUUUUUAUAAUGCUGAGCUUGUUUAUCGUAAAAUCUUUUUUUGUGCAUAUAGAAAAAUAUUAGAAGAGAUUUUUUACACUGUUAAAAAAAUGAAUAGUAUAAAAAGUUCAUCACUUUUAAAAAAAAAAAAUUUGUCAUUAUUUACCAUCAUUCAUGCUAAUUUAAUAUAUUGUAAAUAUAAAAUCACAAAAGAAAACAUAAAACAACAUAAUAAAUUAAAUAAUGCACCAACAGAGGUAAAUGACACAGAAUAUGCGCAGGAUUAUGCAAAGGACGAACAUGGUACAGAUGUGUCAAACAGCCAAAACAAAUGUUUACAAAAUAAUACCAAUAACAACAACAUAAGAAGUAGUUGUCUUAUAGAUGCACACGAUGAACAGAAAUUAUUAAUAGAAAGAAAUUAUAUAAAUACAGAAGUCGUCCAAAAAUGUGAUAACACAAAAUACGAAAGUACCAAUAUAUCUUCAAACGAAUGUGAUGAAGAAAAAAAAAAAACAAUUAUAGAUAAAACUAAAAAAAUAAAAAAAAUGAAAAAAAUAAAUGAAGAACAUACGAAUAGUAGUGGAGCAAAUGAAAAAGAAAGCAACAGUAGGAAUAAACAAAUACAGGAUACAAAUCAUGAAGAAAUGACUAACUUAGAGGUUAUUGAUACAUGUUCAGAGGUAGAACAUAACCAUAAAAAUUGUUUAUCAAAUGGCUUACCAAAUAACUUAUCAAAUGGCUUAUCAGAUAACUUAUCAGAUAACUUAUCAGAUAACUUAUCAAAUAACUUACCAAAUAACUUACCAAAUAACUUACCAACAGAUUUACCAACUGAUUUAUCAACUGAUUUACCAACUGAUUUACCAAAUGGUUUACAAAAUAUCCCACAAAAUGAUGCCACUCGAAAUACAUUAAAAAUGCAAGAUUAUUCAAACACAAACAAACAGGUUAAACAUGAUAUACAAGUUACUACUACAUUAGAUACUAUGGAAGAUGCUACUCCUAUUAUUACUAACACUACUACGACCCAAAAAAGAGAAACAAAAAGUCUUUAUACAAAAACAUCAAACG